CAUCCUGCUCUAUAACCCAGAGAGGAGGUUAACAUCCUGCCUCUAAUAAACCAGAGAGGAAAGUUAACAUCCUGCCUCUAAUAACCCAGAGAGGAAAGUUAACAUCCUUCUUCAGAGAGCCAUGGAAAUCUUUUCACCAGUUCAGAAGUGUCAUUGUUUUGUAAAUCGCUACUGCAAAUGACUUAUUAGUUCCAUAUUUCCUGGUUUCCUGUGUAUCUGAGAGCUCUGUGGUGGCAGUGGAGAUUAAGCAGACAGGAACAUUGAUUGCUAUUUCCAUCAUGAAUGGGAAUUAGUCAUUAUUUUCAAAUGUUUUCAUUAACCUUUGACACUCAACGAUUGCCGCCUGCAGCAGAUCAAACUGGGAAGCUAUUCGUUGGGGACGCUAUGUUACAGAUCAAUGGCAUUAAUGUCGAACAUUGUAGUCAUGAAGAAGUUGUUCAUCUCCUGCGGACUGCUGGGGAGGAAGUCACCAUCACUGUUCGUUUCCUCAGGGAAGUUCCGUCUUUUCUAAAGCUCCCAUUGGGCUCUCCUGUAGCACCGCUGGUCAAAGUAGCC
Long non-coding RNA from Salvelinus sp. IW2-2015, 555 nucleotides. RefSeq lists it as uncharacterized. The record is from RefSeq and is a predicted model, not a curated record. Lineage: Eukaryota; Metazoa; Chordata; Actinopteri; Salmoniformes; Salmonidae.